This 345-nucleotide unclassified non-coding RNA is filed under the name soil metagenome. Its description in RNAcentral is "partial contains 5.8S ribosomal RNA, internal transcribed spacer 2, and large subunit ribosomal RNA". The stretch from base 1 to 120 matches the Rfam family "5.8S ribosomal RNA", at positions 35 to 154 of the family's 154-position model. The record is from RNAcentral.
GAUGAAGAACGUAGUGAAAUGCGAUACGUAAUGUGAAUUGCAGAAUUCAGUGAAUCAUCGAGUCUUUGAACGCACAUUGCGCCCCCUGGUAUUCCGGGGGGCAAGCCUGUCCGAGCGUCAUUGCUGCCCUCAAGCACGGCUUGUGUGUUGGGCCUCCGUCCUCCUCCCGGGGGACGGGCCCGAAAGGGAGCGGCGGCACCGCGUCCGGUCCUCGAGCGUAUGGGGCUUCGUCACCCGCUCUUGUAGGCCCGGCCGGCGCUUGCCGACACAUCAAUCUUUUUUCCAGGUUGACCUCGGAUCAGGUAGGGAUACCCGCUGAACUUAAGCAUAUCAAUAAGCGGAGGA